GAAAAUGAUGGACCGAAAACGAUGGUAUUUCGGCGUGUACUACCAGUUCGCCGAGGAUCGGCACGAUGUUUGGAUUGUCGACGUCGACAACGCCUGCGUCACGGCAGACACCAAGGAUGAGGCGAUGGCGGAUAUCACAUCGCAACUGUCGGCUUGCCUGAAGGAUUACACUGACACCGGCAAGGCUCUUCCCCCCGCCUCGUCCCAGGCGGAGGCGAUGGUCAAGGCCGCGGACAUGCUGCGGGACGCCCAGCUGGAGAUGCCGGAACUGUACCCGCAGCCCAUCGCGCAGCACAUGACGGUCGUCACGUGCGAGCUGACGGACGGCUGACCCUAGUGUGGGCAGGGGCCUUGGCUAUCACUGGCGGGCUGCGGGUAACGGCUCAGGACUUACGAGGAUAGGUCGGGGGCAACAGGAACAGCGGUGUGGGGUAGGGGAGAGAUAGGGAGAUGGGAGAGCCUGGGGCUCGGGGAACCGGAAUAGGUGAGAGAUCGUAAGGGGAGGGGGAAGGGGGCUUCGAACGGGUAAUUGGUCGUGCCGGGAGGCACCCUGUGGGGGAUGGGAAAUUCUAGCCUAGACUUGCGCGAGCGGGCGACUUCGCGCCGUGCACAAGGGGCCGCGAUACAAGGGAUCGUUCUAUGUCACAAUACUAGAGACUGGUACUUAAGGAGUCUUGUUGAGAUUGACUCCUAUGAUUGCUCGGGUAGUUGGUGUGAGGAGUUGGGAGGAGUGACCGCGCCGUAGUGGCGGAGUUGUUGUGUGUGGUUACAAGGUGGUGAGCACGACGUGCAUUCCUGUCCUUGUAGAAACCGAGGCCCGGGCCGGGGGGCCCUUAUAACGCCUGCAACACUUAUAUAUGCAGCUAGUUUGGUCCCCGAAUGGGGGUGCUUAUGCUCCUGUGCUCCCAAAUGGAAUCUAGUAACGCGGCUAACCUGGCUGGGUCCGUAUGGAGUGACUGAAACAGCACAGCUCGCUCGCUUAUAUCUUGCCCUCGGCCCCUGCAUUGGCCGGAUGGGACCCGUACAGGUCGUAGGGGCCUAGGUCCCAAACCGCAAGUGCUACGCAACUGCGCCGAGAGGCCUACAUGCUACUAACUUCACUCGACCCCACCCAUCUGUCAGAAACUGUCCCCUCCCGGACUGUCACAUACCAGUAUACCACCGAACGCACACAGCUGCCCCCAUUCACAUUCAUGCUGCUGGUGACUCAAUGCUGACCUGGCGGCACCCCGCACAAUUGGUGCACGCAGACGGUAUGCCCACAGCGGACAGAUGGGACAUGCACCCAGUGGACCUUGCCCCACAGGUCCUGCCAAGCAGUAGUGCAGCACCCGUCGGCAACAACCUUAAUGGUCAGACAACGCCGCCCAUACACACUGCCCAUACAUCCGCGCUCCCUCUGUGAGCUGGCUCCAGGUUCUGGGUGUCAGAACUCUACCCCGUGCAGUCCGCAUGUCUCUACGAACGCAGACCAUACCACCAUCACCGCCGCCACCAGCGAUUGCCCUAGGGCCGGACGCGGCCAGGGCACGCCGCUCGGCGGUGUGCCGGUCGCCGCGCCGGUGUUCCUAACGCCGCGGCUGCCAGGCGAGGUCUGGUAACGAUGGUAAGGCGGUUGUGUGUGGGGGGGGGCUUGGCGCUGGGUAGCAGGUCGUCGAUCGCGCCGGCCCUGGGCUGCUGGCACGGUCGCUUCGGUGGCUGGCCUUUCGGUCGGCGGGCUGCGCGUGUGUGUGUGCAUGGGCGUGUCUGUGUGUGUGCGCGUGUGUGUGGGUGUGUGAUUGUGCGUGUACGUGUGCGUGUACGGGCGUGUUUACUGCGUGCGCGUGCGUGCGUGUGCCCAUGCCUGUGUGGGCGCUUCUGGGCCUGCCUGGCUGUGUGGCUGCUGUGUCAUUUUUAACGCGUGUGCCUCUGUGCCCCCGGGGAGCUCUUGGUGAGCCCGGACUCCUGUAACCAUGCGCACCACCUAGCGACCAGGCAGCUGCUACAGACCGUGCCAGUUUCACUCGCCAGCUGUGCCCGCUGUCCCCGCCUCUCCUAACAGCUAACCGCCUCCUGUGCCUCACAUUUCAUAUCUGCCUACAGUGUUUACACUCCAGCGCCAGCUCCAGCUCCAGCGUGCGCCAGCUCCAGCUUUCAUACAGUCUACACCACUUCGCAACCAACAAGUGCCGAAUUGGAUGGAGGCCAAUCCUCCCAUAUCCACACGCAGGCACGUCUGCGUGCCUAGAUAACCCUCAGCCACAGCCCACAACCACAUACACAAACCACGCUUACAUCGAAUACUCCUCCAAGGACCCGCGUAGCAUGCCAGGCUUGCCUGUCGUCCCCUGCAUCUGUCUCGCUGCUGCCAGCCGCUGCCUGCCAUGCCGUUGCCUAUGCCGCAGCAGUGCUCAAGAUGCCCUGCGCAUGCCGUUGGCCACAACAGCACCACAUUGCUAAGCUGCAACUGCCACAGCAGCCUGCACAGACCACUGACCACCGCACUCCCAGCUGAGCUGCUGUCGUCAGAGUUACUGCUGCUGCCAGUGCUGUAGCCAACGCUGCAGUGCACGCACCCCACAGCCGCCUAGACACCUCCCCUGACUAAAGCAACCAGCUGCUCCGCCCACAGCUGCUGCUGCUGCUGCUGUCGCCACUGCUGCAGGCACCAUCCCCACCCCCAUAUUGCCGCUGGAGCUGCAGGUCCACAAGCAGCCAUCACUGCCCCUGCCGCUGCCAUCACCUGAUUCUGCAAGCCACACAGACAAUCAACGAAUCUCCGUCAGCUGUGCAUGGUGAAUGAAAAUGAGCCCAGAGCGUACGCAGUCAACAGGAGCCCCCCAGGCUUGACACCCCGCUGCCCCUCUUAGGGUUCCGAGUGUCCACCUGCACCAACUCUUCCAUUCUCGCAUUCCACAAUCUACAUCCAUUGACGCUUGGUAGCUAGAUUGGCUGGAAAUGCGCACCUGGCUCUGUUGUGCACCUAGCGCUCAGGCGCUGUCGUCCUCCACGCCGCUCGUCUUGUAGCCGCUGCAGACAGAAGGUACAACGGCGCAACGUUUUAAGCGCAAAUAUACGGGUUGAGGGAGGCAGAUGCUGGAAGGUGGCAUUCAGCGGCAGAAACCUGCGUGCACACUUACGGGGUCGGCGCCGUACUUGCCGUCCUGUCCACCCUGCACCUGUCCGAAUGUGACUGGCUCAUCAUAACCCAGUGCCUUACAAGCGCCCCGCGCCCCUCAGGCGCACGCACUCGGCCCCCGCAACUCAGGCCCCCACGCCCCGCACCCCGAAAGUUCCGGGGCAGGAAAGUUUCGUGGGGGCAGGGCAGGGCUGCGUGCACGCUUACCUAAACACGAAUACUGCGUGCACGCUUACCGCUCGCGGACACCCUGCCAGUCAGCGUGGUAGGAGAUAUCGAGCACGCGCUGCAGCAUCUCACGACGCACGCGCGCUCCUCAUCCGCCUUGCGUUCCAGCUUCUGCUCCUGUUCCAGCAAGUGCUCGCGGUUCAAAGACCCUCGAAAUACAAGCCUCACAAAGCGGAAACGGCUUUCAUAUGUCUCAUUCAGCGCUAGACAGAGGUCAAACGUGAAUGGCCUCGUAAAGAAUCUGGAGAAGCGAGAGCACAACAGCGCCUUGAAUUUGUUUGUUUGCGUCCACCUGAGGCUUCCCUCAAGACUGCCUAAGCUUGACAGUAUCUAGUAGCAAUACAUUUCGAUUGAAAGUAUUGCCCUCAACUAGCAUGACCAGGCGCCAAUAAUAGGGCGGAUGGGGCCGCGAGUCGAUCAAUCAAUCGAUCACGCUGAACGUGGGCCGCUUAUGGAGUCCAAGUCCAGCCGAAUUGUCGGUUCCCUAAGCCUUGGCAUCGACUUGGUGAAAUGCGCACCGACAUUUUACAGCUCUGUCACGUCUCCAGCGGCCCAUCCAUAAGGGAGAACGCACGCAUUCAGUGUUUUAUACACAUUGGACUAAUACGUGUAGGCCGGGCCCCCGUAAUUCACCACGCGCCCUGAACAUGCAACACAUACCUGCGCCAGCGCGAAGAAGAGCAGUCUAACAUUUGGGCACACGAAACACGGCCGCUGCAGCCUACCCGUGCCUACCAGCCUCUUUGGACUGAAGAGAGCGCCGAAACCUGACCGACAGCCAACCCACGGCCAACCAUGGUCCACACUGCCAGUCCGUGCUUGUCCACACAUAGCGGACCGCCAUGCGAUCCAUGGAGCGUGCCCCUAAGGGAGUCAAGUGACAGGGGACGCAAUGUACAGUGUUAAAAUGCCGAGCACGAGAGGAGGCUGGUGUAGAAGUGGCGACUGAAGUCUGAGUAUGAUCUGAGUGCCAGAGUCGUAACAAACAUUGGACCAAAGGUACUGCGGAUGCUGGCGUGCGCACAACCUCCCGGACCGGUGACCGGGUCGGGGUCGGGGUCGGGGUCGGGGUCGGGGUCGGGGUCGGGGUCGGGGUCGGGGUCGGGGUCGGGGUCGGGGUCGUGGACAUCGGGGCAUUGGAGUCUGGGGAAAUGGGAUCCAAGGGACGCAAAAUCGCUCGUUUCCGCCCGCGCAGCUUCUAAAUACUUACGUAUUUAUGUAAUAUUAUAGCUGGGCCAACGCCCUGUCAAAUUGCGAGGGCGCGCGCGGACUUCCCCCCGCGUGCCCGCACCUCGGCCCCGCACCCUCGCCAUCACCCCCCAGCACCAAAACCCGUCAUACCGUCCCCCACCGCGAGAUACAGACUCCACUAUAUAAUAUAAGUAAAAUGUGAUCUGGGUGCCGGUGCUGGGGGGUCGGGGCUGUCCGCCUGGACGUCGGACGGUUGGACGGCGCGAAACUGCGCGAAGUAAGUUCAAGUUCGCCCUUGCGGCGAAACCGUUCAGCCUUACACGUUUUGCAAAUAUAAGAAUAACAUAGUCGCAGCUUCAUAGGUCUCACGUUGUGGGGCAGCCAGCACGGCAGUAUUAAGGACAGGUGCUCGUGCUCGCAGCUUACGCGCCUACGGGCAUCCUGACAGGUACAUAAGUGCUGAGAUUGAAGCAAUCUACGUAUCUGAUAGUUACCUUGGACCAGCACCAGCCUGUGCGAUGAAAUCGGCCAAAGAAUUGUCUUUCUUGAGGCAUCGGACACCAUUCUAUGCAUUAGAGUGCGCGAAAUAUGGUUUAGCCUCAGUUACUUUCGCGAUCGAGGUUCCCUGACUCGAGUCGGGUAUCGGAACUUUGUCGCUGGGGCCUCUUUUACCUUGUGUACAAUAGCUUCGUGUAAUGGAUGGCUUAAAUAAUGGCUGUGUGCAGUCGGCGGGAGCGGGGAACACGUGUUGCCCAAGUUUUCGUCAACUGCCGCUUUCUGAAACGUAUAGGUGCGCCGCGCCCCCUGCGGGGGCCGGGGCACGCUAACCUUGACAUUACUUCGGCCGUGUGCAUGUAGCCUGUCGCCGCACAUGCACACGGCAUUCACUUGUGCGACCGCCGCUGGACCGCUGCCCUCAAGUGCUCUGGUGCCCGCCGUACAGGCGCUGGCUUCACGCACAGCAGCCCAUAGGCACGCACAACCCAUGCGCAGCCCUGGUGUGGUGUCCCAACUCACCUUGGCCAACCUGCGCUGGCAUUCCCUGGGCGUGUAUGGCCAGCGCGCUGAGUCCGGUCGGCAUAAAGUGAAGCGCGGCGACCAGCUCGCGAGCAAAUGCAGCCGUGCCUGCAUGUCGUGUCAGUGAAAAGAACAUUCAGGAAACACUUUCAUGAUAAUUGACUGUUUUCCAAGCUGUUGGCCGCGUGCGUGCGUUUACACGCCGCCGCCGCCGCUGCCACCUACCGGUCGCCCACCUGCUGCUGGCGGCGCUGCUGGUGGCGCUGCUGGCGGCGCUGCUGGUGGCGCUGCUGGUGGCGCUGCUGGCGGGGGGGCUGGCGAGCAGCAGCGGCCGGGACACUUGAAGCCACCAGUAGGCAGUAGCGCCGCCUGGCAGCCUUCCCAUGCAUCUGCGGCCAGCGGCCCUGCAGGCCGUGAUAGCGGCAAUUCAGGAGGGUCGGAGGUGUUCGUGCAUGGGAUGACAAAACUUGCGGGGUGAGGGGGGGGCAGGAGCAAUCAAAAUUGGACCAAGGUUGAUGAGUGGGGAAUGACAACAAGUUGCGGGGUUAGGGCGGUGCAAGGGGCAAUCAAAUGUGGACGAAGGUUGUGUGGGGAUGACGAAAGUUGCGGGGUGAGGGGGGGGGGCAGGAGCAAUCAAAAUUGGACCAAGGUUGAUGAGUGGGGAAUGACAACAAGUUGCGGGGUUAGGGCGGUGCAAGGGGCAAUCAAAUGUGGACGAAGGUUGUGUGGGGAUGACGAAAGUUGCGGGGUGAGGGGGGGGCAGGAGCAAUCAAAAUUGGACCAAGGUUGAUGAGUGGGGAUGACAACAAGUUGCGGGGUUAGGGCGGUGCAAGGGGCAAUCAAUGUGGACGAAGGUUGUGUGGGGAUGACGCCCGUCUCUGUCUCCUUCACUCCCUGCUACUGUUCGGUUAGUGGCACUAACCGAACAGGCUCAGGCCCAACUACCGAACCGGACCCUGCUCUAGCUCGCUCCCAGCUCGCCCCACUAUCAGCCGCUGUACCCGAUCGCUGCCAGACACUACACAUAUGCAACCCGGCGCAGAGGCUCUUCACUGGCGUACGCUAUGCGGGUUGGGGUACUCUUGACCCUAGUGUGGGCAGGGGCCUUGGCUAUCACUGGCGGGCUGCGGGUAACGGCUCAGGACUUACGGGGAUAGGUCGGGGGCAACAGGCACAGCGGUGUGGGGUAGGGGAGAGAUAGGGAGAGGGGAGAGCCUGGGGCUCGGGGAACCGGAAUAGGUGAGAG
Molecule: long non-coding RNA, 6800 nt
Filed under: Chlamydomonas reinhardtii
Lineage: Eukaryota; Viridiplantae; Chlorophyta; Chlorophyceae; Chlamydomonadales; Chlamydomonadaceae
Description: long non-coding RNA (CREI_LNC000381)
Source: RNAcentral